RNAcentral lists this transfer RNA (75 nucleotides) under Chthoniobacterales bacterium. RNAcentral's name for it is "tRNA-Gln". It matches the Rfam family "tRNA". From Rfam's summary of the family: Transfer RNA (tRNA) molecules are approximately 80 nucleotides in length. Their secondary structure includes four short double-helical elements and three loops (D, anti-codon, and T loops). Lineage: Bacteria; Pseudomonadati; Verrucomicrobiota; Spartobacteria; Chthoniobacterales. The record is from RNAcentral.
UACCCCGUGGUGUAAUCGGUAACACAGCGCCCUUUGGAGGCGUUAUUCUUGGUUCGAAUCCAAGCGGGGUAGCCA